UUUUUAGACAGGCUUGCGAGCUCGCAUUGAAGAUUUUCUCUCUUUCUUCCUCUCGCACACUGUGAGCUGUGCUGGACUGAGCUCAGCUUCCAGCAGGGUCAGGGAGCGGAGGACAUCCACAAGCUCGCACGCCAAAACCACUCAGCGGUUGUAAAAGCACCGAGAACAUCGGCUCCAGCGCUGCACGGGGCGGGAGCGGCUCUUUGUGUCCUCAGCUCGCUGUGUCCUCGCUGCUCCUGCAGCCUGUCCCCGACCCGGUCCCAGUGCUCUGCUCUUCGGCCUCGGUGCUCUCAGGAUUGAGCCCUCCCUGCCAGGAGAGCCGCGGGCACUGCCCCCUCCCCGCGCCUGGGGCACACCUCAGCCUGCUCAGGGGUUAACCUCGGUCCCCAGAGCCGCGUAGGCAAAUUAGCACCGUGUUUUCCCCGAGCUAAUUAACUUCCCUGGCAGCAGGGCUAAUUAUCUCCUGCACAGCGCUGGCUGCAGCAGCCGCCGGCCCCCAGGCGAGGGGGGACGCAGCUCCUGGGAGCCCACCCCCUGUCAUCCCCAUGUCACCCUGUCCAUGUGCACGUGAGGACGCUGCUCGGGGCCAGGCUGCUUGGAGGUUUGCCAUGGAUUUCAGCAGCUGCUGCCAACCGCGUCUAAUCGCCGCUGUCAGCAGCGGGAGCAGAAUGCCUGCGAAUGGGAAAGUGCACGGGCGCUGGGUAAAGGAGGAACGCGCUCGCAGAGAAAAUAAGCACUGAAAACAUACGCAUCAAAUACAUCGCAGGGUCGCGGGUGAGUACUGGGUAAUAAAACGCUGUCAGGGGGCA
Molecule: long non-coding RNA, 809 nt
Filed under: Numida meleagris (helmeted guineafowl)
Lineage: Eukaryota; Metazoa; Chordata; Aves; Galliformes; Numididae
Description: lncRNA (ENSNMEG00000018311.1)
Source: RNAcentral